This 352-nucleotide ribosomal RNA is filed under the name uncultured bacterium. Its description in RNAcentral is "partial 16S ribosomal RNA". It matches the Rfam family "Bacterial small subunit ribosomal RNA", at positions 338 to 687 of the family's 1533-position model. The record is from RNAcentral.
CCUACGGGAGGCAGCAGUGAGGAAUAUUGGUCAAUGGACGAGAGUCUGAACCAGCCAAGUAGCGUGAAGGAUGACUGCCCUAUGGGUUGUAAACUUCUUUUAUAUGGGAAUAAAACAGGGUAUGCAUACCCUCUUGUAUGUACCAUAUGAAUAAGGAUCGGCUAACUCCGUGCCAGCAGCCGCGGUAAUACGGAGGAUCCGAGCGUUAUCCGGAUUUAUUGGGUUUAAAGGGAGCGUAGGUGGAUUGUUAAGUCAGUUGUGAAAGUUUGCGGAUCAACCGUAAAAUUGGAGUUUAAACUGGCAGGUCUGAGGACAGUAGAGGUGGGGGGAAUUCGUGGUGGAGCGGGGAAAU